RNAcentral lists this ribosomal RNA (195 nucleotides) under Trichoderma atroviride. RNAcentral's name for it is "partial 28S ribosomal RNA". Lineage: Eukaryota; Fungi; Ascomycota; Sordariomycetes; Hypocreales; Hypocreaceae. The record is from RNAcentral.
CGCUUGUGACCAGACUUGGGCGCGGCGGAUCAUCCGGGGUUCUCCCCGGUGCACUUCGCCGUGUUCAGGCCAGCAUCAGUUCGGCGCGGGGGAAAAAGGCUUCGGGAACGUGGCUCCUCCGGGAGUGUUAUAGCCCGUUGCAUAAUACCCUGCGCUGGACUGAGGACCGCGCAUCUGCAAGGAUGCUGGCGUAAU